This 468-nucleotide ribosomal RNA is filed under the name uncultured bacterium. RNAcentral describes it as "bacterial SSU rRNA". It matches the Rfam family "Bacterial small subunit ribosomal RNA", at positions 328 to 793 of the family's 1533-position model. The record is from RNAcentral.
UGACAGUACUCCUACGGGAGGCAGCAGUGAGGAAUAUUGGUCAAUGGAGGGAACUCUGAACCAGCCAUCCCGCGUGUAGGAAGACGGCCUUAUGGGUUGUAAACUACUUUUAUACAGGAAGAAACGUACCCUCGUGAGGGUGCCUGACGGUACUGUAGGAAUAAGCACCGGCUAACUCCGUGCCAGCAGCCGCGGUAAUACGGAGGGUGCGAGCGUUAUCCGGAUUUAUUGGGUUUAAAGGGUCCGUAGGCGGAUUAAUAAGUCAGUGGUGAAAUCCCAUCGCUUAACGAUGGAACUGCCAUUGAUACUGUUAGUCUUGAAUGAGGGUGCAGUGGUUGGAAUGUGUAGUGUAGCGGUGAAAUGCAUAGAUAUUACACAGAACACCGAUUGCGAAGGCAGAUCACUAACCCUAAAUUGACGCUGAGGGACGAAAGCGUGGGGAGCGAACAGGAUUAGAUACCCUGGUAG